GACGAACGCUGGCGGCGUGCUUAACACAUGCAAGUCGAACGGUAAGGCCCUUCGGGGUACACGAGUGGCGAACGGGUGAGUAACACGUGGGUGAUCUGCCCUGCACUUCGGGAUAAGCCUGGGAAACUGGGUCUAAUACCGGAUAGGACCACUGCCUGCAUGGGUGGUGGUGGAAAGCUUUUGCGGUGUGGGAUGGGCCCGCGGCCUAUCAGCUUGUUGGUGGGGUGAUGGCCUACCAGGGCGACGACGGGUAGCCGGUCUGAGAGGGUGACCGGCCACACUGGGACUGGGAUACGGCCCAGACUCCUACGGGAGGCAGCAGUGGGGAAUAUUGCACAAUGGGCGCAAGCCUGAUGCAGCGACGCCGCGUGAGGGAUGACGGCCUUCGGGUUGUAAACCUCUUUCAGCACCGACGAAGCGCAAGUGACGGUAGGUGCAGAAGAAGGACCGGCCAACUACGUGCCAGCAGCCGCCGUAA
RNAcentral lists this ribosomal RNA (478 nucleotides) under uncultured bacterium. Its description in RNAcentral is "partial 16S ribosomal RNA". It matches the Rfam family "Bacterial small subunit ribosomal RNA", at positions 28 to 523 of the family's 1533-position model. The record is from RNAcentral.